UGGUAUUAUCAUGCAUUGCAUGCAUAAUGCUGUAAAUUAUACUUUCAUUAAUUAAUUAAAGAAACCUAGCCAAUAUUGGAAUAUUCUAGGGGUUAGGUCCGUUAGGAUUCAUUUAUAGAUUCGCAUACAAAAUAUUAAAUACGUAUUUCAUAAUUUUAUUUUAUAAAAACCAUAACUCUGGUUUUUUAUUAUUGUUUUAAUGGCAACAACAAAAUACACGACACAUGAGCAUCACACUAUUUUAAUCGCACACUAAAC
Molecule: long non-coding RNA, 258 nt
Filed under: Salvia miltiorrhiza (redroot sage)
Lineage: Eukaryota; Viridiplantae; Streptophyta; Magnoliopsida; Lamiales; Lamiaceae
Description: long non-coding RNA (SMIL_LNC012600)
Source: RNAcentral